RNAcentral lists this ribosomal RNA (466 nucleotides) under uncultured bacterium. RNAcentral describes it as "bacterial SSU rRNA". It matches the Rfam family "Bacterial small subunit ribosomal RNA", at positions 30 to 490 of the family's 1533-position model. The record is from RNAcentral.
AUUGAACGCUGGCGGCAUGCCUUACACAUGCAAGUCGAACGGCAGCGGACCUUCGGGUGCCGGCGAGUGGCGAACGGGUGAGUAAUAUAUCGGAACGUACCUUUCAGUGGGGGAUAACGUAGCGAAAGUUACGCUAAUACCGCAUAUUCUGUGAGCAGGAAAGCAGGGGAUCGCAAGACCUUGCGCUGAUUGAGCGGCCGAUAUCAGAUUAGCUAGUUGGUGAGGUAAAGGCUCACCAAGGCGACGAUCUGUAGCGGGUCUGAGAGGAUGAUCCGCCACACUGGAACUGAGACACGGUCCAGACUCCUACGGGAGGCAGCAGUGGGGAAUUUUGGACAAUGGGCGCAAGCCUGAUCCAGCAAUGCCGCGUGUGUGAAGAAGGCCUGCGGGUUGUAAAGCACUUUCAGUAGGGAGGAAACAGUAGCCGGUUAAUAUCCGGUUGCCUUGACGUUACCUACAGAAGAAG